RNAcentral lists this ribosomal RNA (538 nucleotides) under Mycobacterium sp. CEL3IBA. RNAcentral's name for it is "bacterial SSU rRNA". It matches the Rfam family "Bacterial small subunit ribosomal RNA", at positions 20 to 575 of the family's 1533-position model. The record is from RNAcentral. Lineage: Bacteria; Bacillati; Actinomycetota; Actinomycetes; Mycobacteriales; Mycobacteriaceae.
UGGCUCAGGACGAACGCUGGCGGCGUGCUUAACACAUGCAAGUCGAACGGAAAGGCCCUUCGGGGUACUCGAGUGGCGAACGGGUGAGUAACACGUGGGUGAUCUGCCCUGCACUUUGGGAUAAGCCUGGGAAACUGGGUCUAAUACCGAAUAUGACCACGCUCUUCAUGGGGUGUGGUGGAAAGCUUUUGCGGUGUGGGAUGGGCCCGCGGCCUAUCAGCUUGUUGGUGGGGUAAUGGCCUACCAAGGCGACGACGGGUAGCCGGCCUGAGAGGGUGACCGGCCACACUGGGACUGAGAUACGGCCCAGACUCCUACGGGAGGCAGCAGUGGGGAAUAUUGCACAAUGGGCGCAAGCCUGAUGCAGCGACGCCGCGUGAGGGAUGACGGCCUUCGGGUUGUAAACCUCUUUCAAUAGGGACGAAGCGCAAGUGACGGUACCUAUAGAAGAAGCACCGGCCAACUACGUGCCAGCAGCCGCGGUAAUACGUAGGGUGCGAGCGUUGUCCGGAAUUACUGGGCGUAAAGAGCUCGUAGG